GACAAAUCGCUCUCUCUUUCUCUAAAACUAAACUUUUCUCCUCUUUCUCUAAUACAAAUCGAUUCUCGCUUCUCUCCAAUCAAAAUUGAUAGUGUUGCCAUCAUCGUUACUAUCUCUGGGUUUCUCCCAUCUCAUGCCAUAAGUUGUUAUUGUCUUGUGUUGUCAUUAUCAUCGGUGGUGGUAUUUCAGACCUUAAUCAGGAUUUUGGUUCUCAAAGAUUAAAUGACCAAGGAAAAGAAGAGCAACAACUUCUACUAUACCUAGCAGAAAUACUACAAGGGGAAUUAAUACACAAAGGAAAAUAGAAAAAAGAAGAAAAAGAAAGCAUAAGGUUGGAGAAGUCCAUAAAAUAAGAAGGGCACACAAGGUUGGAGAAGCCUACAGAAGAAGAAAAAGAAGAAGAAGUACAUAGAACAACUGUUUCUUUCACUAAUAUAGAUGUCUCGAAUGAUAAAUUCAAAAGUAAUAUAAAUGUAGAAGGUGGAGAUAAAGGAUUGAAGGAUGAACAUAGAACAAAACACCGACAUGAUACACCUAUUCAAGGGAAGGAGACAUCUCAUACUAUUGAGUCCUCUGAGGCCAGUUCUUUACGCUACACCAUACUUGAUAUGUAUGAUGAAUAAAAAUUGUCAGCUAAGACAUUGAGGAGGAGAAAACAAAUUUUGGACUUGGCGUGGAAGACUUACAAAGAGAAGAAUUUGAUUGAGCAUCUCAAUCCAAAGAUGUUGGUAAGAGUGUAAAGAAAUCAAUGUGCUUGCUUUAUUUUGUGCACAAUUUUCUUUCGGUAAAAGAUUUGAACACAAAUAUUCCAUCUAAAUGAAUUUUGCUCUCAGUCAAUAGAGAUGCAUUUUCUGCCCAUCCAUGAAGUCAUGUAAGUUAUGAUCUUACAAUGAAAUAACUAUUGAGUGCGGUUCAAUCCAAAUAUGAAGACCAGCAAUCCUUAUGAAUUUUCAUGGGCU
Molecule: long non-coding RNA, 959 nt
Organism: Capsicum annuum
Lineage: Eukaryota; Viridiplantae; Streptophyta; Magnoliopsida; Solanales; Solanaceae
Exons: 3
Source: RefSeq, a predicted model, not a curated record